GAUGAACGCUGGCGGCGUGCCUAAUACAUGCAAGUCGAGCGAACGGACGAGAAGCUUGCUUCUCUGAUGUUAGCGGCGGACGGGUGAGUAACACGUGGAUAACCUACCUAUAAGACUGGGAUAACUUCGGGAAACCGGAGCUAAUACCGGAUAAUAUUUUGAACCGCAUGGUUCAAAAGUGAAAGACGGUCCUGCUGCCACUUAUAGAUGGAUCCGCGCUGCAUUAGCUAGUUGGUAAGGUAACGGCUUACCAAGGCAACGAUGCAUAGCCGACCUGAGAGGGUGAUCGGCCACACUGGAACUGAGACACGGUCCAGACUCCUACGGGAGGCAGCAGUAGGGAAUCUUCCGCAAUGGGCGAAAGCCUGACGGAGCAACGCCGCGUGAGUGAUGAAGGUCUUCGGAUCGUAAAACUCUGUUAUUAGGGAAGAACAUAUGUGUAAGUAACUGUGCACAUCUUGACGGUACCUAAUCAGAAAGCCACGGCUAACUACGUG
This 497-nucleotide ribosomal RNA is filed under the name uncultured bacterium. RNAcentral's name for it is "partial 16S ribosomal RNA". It matches the Rfam family "Bacterial small subunit ribosomal RNA", at positions 28 to 507 of the family's 1533-position model. The record is from RNAcentral.